Long non-coding RNA from Onychostoma macrolepis, 1207 nucleotides. RefSeq lists it as uncharacterized. The transcript has 3 exons. NCBI's taxonomy places the organism in Eukaryota, Metazoa, Chordata, Actinopteri, Cypriniformes, Cyprinidae. The record is from RefSeq and is a predicted model, not a curated record.
GCGUAAGCGACAGCUGCCCGGAGCCUGGACUUUCUCCCAGACCAGCAAAAGUUUCGGCGUGGAUUUGAACGAACACUAACCUUCGGACCUAGGAUACAAGGAAAACCUUUUUUCUGGCUGAGAAAGGUACUGUGAAAUCACAAGAAGUGAGUUUGUGGCUGAUCCGAAUGUCUGUGGUCCUCUACGCACCCCAGAGACGUAUGACGCAGCUGUUGCUGAUCUCCAGGCUGAAAACAUCCAAGGCGUCAGAGGGAUAAAGGUGCCAUUUCGUCUUCAGUGCAAAUAUGACUGACUCAGAGCGAACCUUCCUAGAUGUUGCCAUCAUGGAAGUCCUACCACAACUUUAAGCAGUAAACAAAAACAUCCUGGAAGAGCACUUGCAGUCCAUUGGAGUCGAGACGACUUGGGUAAAGUUGGUUUCAUAUUCGCACAUUCGGACUUCUGCGUUCAAUAACUUUGUUAAUCUUCAUCAAAAAAGGCUAAUUUCAGAUCAGUUAUCAUUACCGACUACUAUGAGCACAAAGCAGAACACAUUUUUCUGUAGAACUCGACGUUUUAAAGACGCUGAUAAACACACUUACCUCUAUGGAGUGCCGUGACGUCAUAGCUCAUCUGAGGGACCGUCUACAAAUAAAAGAUGAAUGUUUAUCAUCUUGAUCUUGUAUGUUACAAAGGUAUAUUUAUUAAUUUGCUUUGUCAGACACAUAACUGUUGUAACAGCACAGUACUCAAGUCAAAAUACCCCACAAGGUGGCAGCUGUUGUCCAGCAGAGGAAACAACUGUUGCAUUCAUACAGCAUUUUUUUUCUAGUAAAGUGUUUAUUAAAAGUACAUAUUUAUAUCAAAUCUAUAGUUUUGUUCUCUAUUGAUUAUAAAACCUAUUCAGCUCGGGAUGCACAAAUACACUAAUGAAAAUAAAUUUAUUGCAAAGUUCUUCAACAGGGUGUUUUGUUUUUAUAUAUAUUGUAUAACGGAGUGUCUAUUCACACUAAGUGCAAAUAUCCCGUCUUAUUGGCAGAAGCUAUUUACACUAAAUCUGCCCACCAAGGUGUGAUUGGGAUAGUCAAUACUAUAAAAGACUUAUAUAAGAGUGUGUUUCCAGUGGCGUAUGUUGUAAAAUGCAUGCUUUUUGACGUGAUCGACACGAGUUCGAGACCGCAUUUUGCCAAACUUUUUUUCUCCCUUUUCAAAUCUCAUAUCGCAUCGG